This 440-nucleotide ribosomal RNA is filed under the name uncultured bacterium. Its description in RNAcentral is "partial 16S ribosomal RNA". It matches the Rfam family "Bacterial small subunit ribosomal RNA", at positions 338 to 795 of the family's 1533-position model. The record is from RNAcentral.
CCUACGGGUGGCAGCAGUGGGGAAUAUUGCACAAUGGGGGAAACCCUGAAGCAGCGAAGCCGCGUGAGUGAAGAAGUAAUUCGUUAUGUAAAGCUCUAUCAGCAGGGAAGAAAAGGACGGUACCUGAGUAAGAAGCCACGGCUAACUACGUGCCAGCAGCCGCGGUAAGACGUAGGGGGCAAGCGUUAUCCGGAUUUACUGGGUGUAAAGGGAGCGUAGACGGGAGUGCAAGUCUGGAGUGAAAGGCGGGGGCUCAACCCCCGGACUGCUCUGGAAACUGUACGGCUGGAGUGCAGGAGAGGUAAGUGGAAUUCCUGGUGUAGCGGUGAAAUGCGUAGAUAUUAGGAGGAACACCAGUGGCGAAGGCGGCUUACUGGACUGUAACUGACGUUGAGGCUCGAAAGCGUGGGGAGCAAACAGGAUUAGAUACCCUUGUAGUC